GCCCUGAUGGUCUAGUGGUAUGAUAAUCAUGCUUAGGUAUGAUUGGCCCAGGUUCGAUUCCUGGUUAGGGCA
Molecule: transfer RNA, 72 nt
Filed under: Clytia hemisphaerica
Lineage: Eukaryota; Metazoa; Cnidaria; Hydrozoa; Leptothecata; Clytiidae
Description: tRNA-Undet for anticodon ???
Rfam family: tRNA
About the family: Transfer RNA (tRNA) molecules are approximately 80 nucleotides in length.
Source: Rfam by way of RNAcentral